RNAcentral lists this ribosomal RNA (303 nucleotides) under uncultured bacterium. RNAcentral's name for it is "partial 16S ribosomal RNA". It matches the Rfam family "Bacterial small subunit ribosomal RNA", at positions 507 to 808 of the family's 1533-position model. The record is from RNAcentral.
AGCAGCCGCCGCGGUAAUACGUAGGUCCCGAGCGUUGUCCGGAUUUAUUGGGCGUAAAGGGAGCGCAGGCGGUUUAGUAAGUCUGAAGUUAAAGGCAUUGGCUCAACCAAUGUAUGCUUUGGAAACUGUUAGACUUGAGUGCAGAAGGGGAGAGUGGAAUUCCAUGUGUAGCGGUGAAAUGCGUAGAUAUAUGGAGGAACACCGGUGGCGAAAGCGGCUCUCUGGUCUGUCACUGACGCUGAGGCGCGAAAGCGUGGGGAGCAAACAGGAUUAGAUACCCGCGUAGUCCCUGUCUCUUAUACA